UGGGGAAUAUUGGGCAAUGGGCGAAAGCCUGACCCAGCAACGCCGCGUGAAGGAAGAAGGUUUUCGGAUUGUAAACUUCUGUCCUCAGGGAAGAAGGAAGUGACGGUACCUGAGGAGGAAGCCCCGGCUAACUACGUGCCAGCAGCCGCGGUAAUACGUAGGGGGCGAGCGUUGUCCGGAAUGACUGGGCGUAAAGGGCGCGUAGACGGCUGUCUAAGUCUGGAGUGAAAGUCCUGUUUUUAAGGCGGGAAUUGCUUUGGAGACUGGAUGGCUUGAGUGCGGAAGAGGUAAGUGGAAUUCCCAGUGUAGCGGUGAAAUGCGUAGAGAUUGGGAAGAACACCAGUGGCGAAGGCGACUUACUGGGCCGUAACUGACGUUGAAGCGCGAAAGCGUGGGGAGCGAACA
RNAcentral lists this ribosomal RNA (405 nucleotides) under uncultured prokaryote. Its description in RNAcentral is "bacterial SSU rRNA". It matches the Rfam family "Bacterial small subunit ribosomal RNA", at positions 355 to 774 of the family's 1533-position model. The record is from RNAcentral.